AUUGAACGCUGGCGGCAGGCCUAACACAUGCAAGUCGAGCGCGAAAAUUCCUUCGGGGAUGAGUAGAGCGGCGGACGGGUGAGUAAUGCGCAGAAAUCUGCCCAGUAGUGGGGGACAACCUGGUGAAAACCAGGCUAAUACCGCAUACGCCCUACGGGGAAAGGACAGGGAGUCUUCGGACCUUGCGCUAUUGGAUGAGUCUGCGUCGGAUUAGCUUGUUGGUGAGGUAAUGGCUCACCAAGGCGACGAUCCGUAGCUGGUCUGAGAGGAUGAUCAGCCACACUGGGACUGAGACACGGCCCAGACUCCUACGGGAGGCAGCAGUGGGGAAUAUUGGACAAUGGGCGAAAGCCUGAUCCAGCCAUGCCGCGUGUGUGAAGAAGGCUCUAGGGUUGUAAAGCACUUUAGUUGGGGAAGAAAGGUUGUGUAUUAAUACUGCAUGACUGUGACAUUACCCAAAGAAUAAGCACCGGCUAACU
RNAcentral lists this ribosomal RNA (479 nucleotides) under uncultured bacterium. RNAcentral's name for it is "bacterial SSU rRNA". It matches the Rfam family "Bacterial small subunit ribosomal RNA", at positions 30 to 502 of the family's 1533-position model. The record is from RNAcentral.